This is a long non-coding RNA of Oncorhynchus masou masou (cherry salmon), 1330 nucleotides long. RefSeq lists it as uncharacterized. The record is from RefSeq and is a predicted model, not a curated record. Lineage: Eukaryota; Metazoa; Chordata; Actinopteri; Salmoniformes; Salmonidae. The transcript is spliced from 4 exons.
GGAGAUGGAGUUUUAAGUCUCCAUCUAAAUUGAUAAGAAAUAAUGAAUUGAAUAUGGGAAUUUACAAUCACUCAACAACGCUAGCGAUUGAAUUACCGCGCAAUAUCAAUCAAUAUUUAGGCUGACGCUUUGAAAGUUUUUUCAAUGUUUAUCAUCAGACAAUUCAUUAUUUACAGAAGGCCCUUAUGACAUCUUGAACCCUGUACAUAAACCCCAUGUCUUUGGUGAGGACACUGUUCCAUGGCUGAUGCGUGUGAGGCGGAUGGCUGUGCUCUGCACCAGGAAGAAGAUGUCAUGCUGAGGAUGGGUUUCUGCACUGAUGUUGUUGGUGUGAUGUACUGUAGCGGUGGCUCUCUCACUGUGUCUCUGUUGGCCAUGAUGCGUAACCAUAGAGAGUGAGUGACAGCCUGGUCCCCACACAGCAUAGGGGGCCUGAGAACCACAGACUCCUUUCAGAAGCAGUGAGGACUGACCAGUCUGCAAGCGAGACACUGGCCUUUCUUCCAUCAUGCCAGUCACUGACUGCUCUAGGCGUUUUGUUCAAAAACUAGUGCCACAAGUAUGGAAAUGCAGAUAAAUCAUUGUAACAAAUGAAAGAGGGGAAAAAAGGUUUAAAUGCCUGGAAAUGGUCACCGUCCACCACUUGUACCACUGCCUGGUGCAUUUUUUUUGAAAGUUUUGCCAACAUUUUCAGUUGUUGACGGAUCUGUAGAGCGGAGGUAUCUAUCUACACACGCAGAUUAUGAGAGCCCUCAAUGUAAAUAACAUAUUAUUGUUUCUUUGAAUUUAAGAUGACGUUAACAAUGACCUAUCACAGUUUGCUGAUUAUAUGCCCGAAUGUAAUCCUUCAGAUAAACAUUCUACAUAGUUUGUUAGAUAUGGAAACAUACAACUGCCAUGUAUCGUUUACGGGGAAAAAAUCAAAACAGUAUAAAGCAAGCCUGUUUAGUAUUACGUGUUGCAGGCUGGCUAUAUGUUAUUUGGGUAAGUCAUAGAAGCUCUGUAAGUAUGUACAACAUGUUUUUUUAAUAUAUUUAAAAAAAUAUAUCCACAGUAUAUCUAUUGUCUUAAUCAAGUAUCCCACAACAGUCCAAAUGGAUGAGUAGUCCAAUGGUGGUUUUGGUUAUUGUGAUGAUUGAACAAGUUGAACCAGUCGUAGGCUGGGAGUAGUAUGAGGAAGAAUAUGGAAACAUAGAAACAUUUAUCUCAAAUUAUAUCCAAUACAUUUGAGACAUCUUUAUUUUGUAAAAAAUGUUUUGUCAAAGUGAUGAGAAAAAUAUUAUUUGCCAUUUUGUGUAAUGUUGUGAUUGUCCUUCUCAUAAUAAAAAUG